UAGCUCACAAUGGCAGGCACAAAGCUCGUAUCACUGGGGCUCAUUGUCCUCAUGAGCAUAGGAUUAGCCAAUGCUGUUAGGGUGGCUAGAUACUCUAGUGCUGAUGGGACUGGCACAGGCCAGGGAGGGGGUGGUGGAUAUGUGAAUGGUGGGGGAUCAGGGUCUGGGUCUGGCACCGGAUCAGGUGAUAGUGGCCCUUAUGGUUCCCAUGCAAGUGCUGGAGGGGGCGGUGGAGGUGGUGGAACUAGCCAAUACGGUGGGUCUGGAUAUGGUUCAGGGUCAGGGUCAGGUUCAGGGUCUAGUACAUAUAGUCAAGGACGGUAUUCUGGCUAUGGAGAGUCUUCUAAUGCUGGUGGUGCCGGUGGGGGUGGGGGUGGAGGACAAGCCGGAGGUGCCUGGAAUUCCAAUGCUCAAGGAUCCGGUAGUGGCACCGGUUCUGGCUCUAGCUAUGCUAACAGGAAUUGGUAUGGAUCAAGUCAAGCAGGUGCACGUGCUAAUGGCAAUGGUGGUGGCACAGGAAAUAGUCAAAAUGGUGGCGGUGGCGGUGGUUCUGGUGCCGGAACUGGGUAUGGCAAUGCCUACCCAUAAAUUCCAUAUAAGCCAAUCUAAAGUUGGAGCCCAUCGUAGUCUUUCAUUGUUUGAAGUCAUAAAGUUGUUGGUUUUCUUUGUCCCUUUGUUGCACUUUUGUUAGCAGUAAAUUAAUAAAGGGUCCAACUGUUCUAGCAACAGUAGCAGUCUUGUAAGGUCCUUAUAUGAAGAUGUUGUAAUCAUGUCGGUUUGUGAAAGGAAAAAACAACUUGUCCAUCAUGUGGCCACUCUAUCUAAAAAAAUUCAUAUGUUCCCUUUGCAGUGAUUAAGUUGAGAGGCCUACACCAUGCAUGUUCACAUGGUUAUUAAAGUAUAUACCACUGAAUUUCCUAGAGUUGUUUAUAUCACUUAAUUACGAUAAUAACUGCAAGUGGGUCAAUCCAGCCUAGAACAUAAUUUACAAGAACUGCCACAAACCCAUUUAUGUCAAUCCAGCCUAGAACAUAAUUAGCAUUAACCGCAUGAUAAUAUAAAUACCCUAAGUGCAUAUUUAGGUGAAGGCUUUAUGUUAAGCAUUUGUGUAGCCAAAAAGGAUCAAACAACAUAGCCUAGUUUGGUGGUCAAUAUUUUCUGCAUUUAUGCAUCGUGCUUCUUCGCUCUCGUGAAUGGCUAAUCAAGGAGACAGAUUCUUCAUGUCCAGUUCUAUUCAAUAUUCGUCUUCCAUCAGUGAUCAGUCCAUAUCAUCGUACUUUUAAAUGACACAUUACAGUUCACAUUACUAUUGAUUUCUAAUGCAUAAUUUAGAUCUCAUUUACUGUGUCGCUUAAGACUUAACGCCCUAUAACAGAUUUUGGUUGAGGAGGGCAACUGAGUAGAUGAGGCAGCUCAAUUGCGUCCCGUGCGUGGCUGCUCACUGGCUCGACAUUCUUGUCCCUCGAUUGCAUGCCUUGUAGGAGGAUCACAGAGAACCAAAUGGAAGAGAGGCCAUAUCUGCUAUCUUUAGGUUUGUACUCAUCUUGUUGUUCACGUAUGGAUCACGGAUGGAUGUACUGUUUGGGUCUUCUCUAUUAUCCGAAGAGCAGGAGUCGUCCCUUAGAUUUCUUUUGUUACCUUUGUCCAUAUGGCGCCAUGCAUAAUCUCAUGGAGAAGAGGCUUUGCUAUGGGGCCCUUGGUAGUGAAGUUCCUGUUUGACUCUUCACUUGACUUGAGCUACAGUCUUCACUAUUCACCCACUCUUGAAUUUUCAUCAUGUUCUUACAUAUGUACCUGAGAAAUGUUAGGUUUCAUUCUCUUUGGCCACAAUGUUCAUCCAAAGAUCACGAGCAAUAUUUUAUUGAUAGCUUCAUUGGGUGUCAUCUUGUCAAGGUAAUUCUCUUAGAGAAUGGAGAUGACCAAGUUGUAGUGAAGUUUAUUUGAAAUUAUUUGAUGAUUUUCCUCACAUCCUCAUGUUGCUCUAGUUGCUUCAAACCUAGACCAUUAAUCUCAAUUAUAAGAAUAUUCAAACAUGAGAACACGUACUAGUGUAAUUUUUUUGUUGCAGUCUAUAGUAGUAUAUAGCCAAAACAUGUUACAGAUAUUAUCAAAAUUCAAGAAAUCGCUAUGCCAAAAUUGCCCCAUUAUAUAUAAUAUUAAGUUGCUCAAUUCAUCUACAUAUUAUGCUCGAGCUAUUGGCCAAGCAGAAUAAGUAAAAAUAAUAUUUUGAUCAAGCUUCUCAAAAAUAAAAUUUAGCACAAUCCUAGGAGAUAGCAUGAAGGUCUGUUUGAAGCUCUAUGGGCUCAUCAUAUAUCUACUAAAGUUACUCCUCUUGAGCUAUUAUAUGGACGAGAAGUUUUGUUGCCUGUUGAAGUAAAUCUAGAUGCAUAUAGAUUUGGCUAAGCAAAAUGAUCUAUCUGUUGUUAUAUAUCAUGAUUUAAUGAUGUACAAUGUCGACAAGGUAAUGAACAAAAGCCUAAAGGCUCUAAAGUAUAUUGAGAGAGACAAAGCUAGUGUUGCCUGGGCUUACAACAAGAAAGCGAAAAGUAAAUGUUGUGUAUCAUGCACCUGACGAGGCUCCACCAACAAUGUGUCAUGCAUAUCGUGCUCAGAAUUAGGGGCACCACGUCAGGCGUUCAUGUGCAAACAUGUUGUUCAGUGACGGCGGACCUAAAAGUUGGCUAGGUUGAUUUUGGCCUGCAUCAAUUGGCCAUUAGCUGAUUACCUGGUAUGGCUUUGCAAGAAUUUAGUUCACAAUGUUAUCUGGCUGCUAUCAGACAAUCUCGGCCUGACUUUCAUCCACUCUUAUCGAACUACAGCAAGUGGACACUUACGGUUCAAGCCUUCAAGUACUGUUUCCCUACUUAUUCUGCUUGCAUUGCAUUGUACUGAUUAUUUAAUCUAGUGAGUUGCCUUUCUUAUCAAGAUUUCCAGGUAUACAUAAGAGUGUAGUUCUUAUGUCCAUGACUGAAUUUGUCAAAGGCGUAGCGAAAAGCUCAGGGUCACCUGUAGUCUGCAAUGUCAACCACUGCAUGAGAGAUAGAAUCCGUUGGGUUAUUAGGGGAUGCCUGCGUUGACUUUCAAGCAUGACCGUUGAGACUUCAUGCAUGCAGGUCGUCGUUUACAAGUUUUAAUGUUAGUAUAAUGCUAAAGCCUGAUCAUAAAAGAUAUUUAAAACCCUCGGGUUACAUUAUUAUAUGGGUGAUCUUUUGAUAUUUUUUUUGCGCAUAGUAAUCUUUUGAUUUUCGUGUCACCAUCUUGUUGUGCAUGUUUAUUUCACAGUGCUGGAGAGAAUGGUUAAAGGCAGAGUCAGGGGCAUGCAUGAGAGUAUAUUAUGCAUGCCUGCUUUUUAAAAGUCUUUCAGCGGAAACAAUUUAUCCCAAGCAAAAGACAAGAAAAUGUUUAUAAGUUCAAGAGCCCAUAAUCCUUGUGAAACUAUGACCACUCUGCCUUUUGUUCUCAGGUCGGGUGAAAUGCAGGAUAUGUAUUAGAGCAUGGAUGUUGCUAGUUCUAUUAUUUUCUUUGUGGGGUCUUUAUUUGUCCAGGAACACAAUAUAUAUCGAAACCAAACAUACAAAUAAUUUUUAAGGAACUAGACCCAGCUUUCAGCUAUAUAUGAGACAAAGCAGUACAGUCACUAAAAUAUUUCACACAUUUAGUAUCAGUGAUGGUCUGAAAACCAGCAAUGACUCGAUGGGUAACUUCACUGUUUAUCGAAACGAAGAAUACAAAUAAGUGAACUACUUAAACCGGAGCAAGCAGCUUUAGUUUCAAUGGGCCUUCCAAACACUGAUGAAUGCUAAAACUUCGUGCCAUGCGUUAUCUCUGGACAUGAGACUUAGCUGACCAUCUAG
This 3854-nucleotide long non-coding RNA is filed under the name Sorghum bicolor (sorghum). Its description in RNAcentral is "long non-coding RNA (SBIC_LNC007762)". Lineage: Eukaryota; Viridiplantae; Streptophyta; Magnoliopsida; Poales; Poaceae. The record is from RNAcentral.